RNAcentral lists this ribosomal RNA (320 nucleotides) under uncultured Prevotella sp. Its description in RNAcentral is "partial 16S ribosomal RNA". The record is from RNAcentral. Lineage: Bacteria; Pseudomonadati; Bacteroidota; Bacteroidia; Bacteroidales; Prevotellaceae.
GGAGUUUGGUCCGUGUCUCAGUACCAAUGUGGGGGACCUUCCUCUCAGAACCCCUACUGAUCGUCGGCUAGGUGGGCCGUUACCCCGCCUACUACCUAAUCAGACGCAUCCCCAUCCCAUAGCGAUAAAUCUUUGGUAUUGCUCAGAUGUCCUCAUAAUACAACAUAGGGCAUUAAUCCGCAUUUCGCCGGGCUAUCCUCUACUAAGGGGAAGGUUGGAUACGCGUUACUCACCCGUGCGCCGGUCGCCAGCAACAAUAGCAAGCUAUCGUCCUGCUGCCCCUCGACUUGCAUGUGUUAAGCCUGUAGCUAGCGUUCAUC